RNAcentral lists this ribosomal RNA (194 nucleotides) under Pseudomonas aeruginosa. RNAcentral describes it as "partial 16S ribosomal RNA". It matches the Rfam family "Bacterial small subunit ribosomal RNA", at positions 338 to 524 of the family's 1533-position model. The record is from RNAcentral. Lineage: Bacteria; Pseudomonadati; Pseudomonadota; Gammaproteobacteria; Pseudomonadales; Pseudomonadaceae.
CCUACGGGAGGCAGCAGUGGGGAAUAUUGGACAAUGGGCGAAAGCCUGAUCCAGCCAUGCCGCGUGUGUGAAGAAGGUCUUCGGAUUGUAAAGCACUUUAAGUUGGGAGGAAGGGCAGUAAGUUAUUACCUUGCUGUUUUGACGUUACCAACAGAAUAAGCACCGGCUAACUUCGUGCCAGCAGCCGCGGUAAU